RNAcentral lists this ribosomal RNA (410 nucleotides) under uncultured bacterium. RNAcentral describes it as "bacterial SSU rRNA". It matches the Rfam family "Bacterial small subunit ribosomal RNA", at positions 506 to 916 of the family's 1533-position model. The record is from RNAcentral.
UGUCAAGCCGCGGUAAUACGUAGGUGGCAAGCGUUGUCCGGAUUUAUUGGGCGUAAAGCGAACGCAGGCGGGAGAACAAGUCAGCUGUGAAAGCCCUCGGCUUAACCGAGGAACGGCAACUGAAACUGUUUUUCUUGAGUGCAGAAGAGGAGAGUGGAACUCCAUGUGUAGCGGUGAAAUGCGUAGAUAUAUGGAAGAACACCAGUGGCGAAGGCGGCUCUCUGGUCUGUAACUGACGCUGAGGUUCGAAAGCAUGGGUAGCGAACAGGAUUAGAUACCCUGGUAGUCCAUGCCGUAAACGAUGAGUGCUAAGUGUUGGGAGGUUUCCGCCUCUCAGUGCUGCAGCUAACGCAUUAAGCACUCCGCCUGGGGAGUACGACCGCAAGGUUAAAACUCAAAUAAAUUGGCGG